This is a long non-coding RNA of Prionailurus viverrinus (fishing cat), 398 nucleotides long. RefSeq lists it as uncharacterized. The record is from RefSeq and is a predicted model, not a curated record. NCBI's taxonomy places the organism in Eukaryota, Metazoa, Chordata, Mammalia, Carnivora, Felidae. The transcript is spliced from 2 exons.
CCAUGACACCUUAAGGUCAGAGGUUCCCCUUCUGUGAAGACUCUGCUUUGGACCUGGAGUAGUAGCCAAUCUGGAAAGUGUAGACCCAAAAUCUGACUGGACCGAGAAGGUCUCCCACUGGCCUUAAAGAAGAGAGCUGCCAUGUUGGGAGAGGGCCAUAAGGGCAGGGGCCUGCCUCCAGAGCUGAGAUCGGCCUCCACCUGACAGCCAGCAAAAAGAUGGGGACAUCAAGUCUACCACAUAAGGAACUGAAUUCUGCCAAUGACCAUGUGAGCUUGGAAGAGUUGCAGGAAGGAACACCCCAGUCAAUACCCUGACUGCAGCCUCUGCAGACCACCCAACCAAGCUGUGCUGGGAGCCCUGACCCAUGGAAAGAUAAUAAAUGUAUGCUGUUUUAA